Molecule: non-coding RNA, 356 nt
Organism: Pelobates cultripes (western spadefoot toad)
Lineage: Eukaryota; Metazoa; Chordata; Amphibia; Anura; Pelobatidae
Source: the annotation of a GenBank genome assembly
GAAGAAUGGCGCUUCUAUUCCAUAGUGACAAGUGUUAACCCUAAGAGUGAUGAAUCCUUAUUUGACAUUCCACGAGUAUGGGCAGAGAAUAAUCCACCAGGACUUGCUUGUAAUAUCCCACCCAUACAUAUUGAACUAAAGCUUGGGGCCUAUCCUGUGAGCCUACGUCAAUAUCACAUACCCCAAAAGGCUAAGGAAAACAUGCAAACCUACUUGGAUAAGUUCGUAAGGUAUGGCAUCCUAAAAUUCUGUACUUCCUCCUGGAACACUCCAUUAUUACCUGUUCAAAAACCAGGAUCGGACGAAUAUCGUCCUGUACAGGAUUUGAGAGCAGUUAAUGAUGCAGUAGUUAAUAU